CGAAGGGGACUAGCGUUGUUCGGAAUCACUGGGCGUAAAGCGCACGUAGGCGGAUGUGUCAGUCAGGGGUGAAAUCCCGGGGCUCAACCUCGGAACUGCCUUUGAUACAGCACGUCUCGAGUCCGGAAGAGGUGGGUGGAAUUCCUAGUGUAGAGGUGAAAUUCGUAGAUAUUAGGAAGAACACCGGUGGCGAAGGCGGCCCACUGGUCCGGUACUGACGCUGAGGUGCGAAAGCGUGGGUAGCAAACAGG
RNAcentral lists this ribosomal RNA (251 nucleotides) under uncultured bacterium. RNAcentral's name for it is "partial 16S ribosomal RNA". It matches the Rfam family "Bacterial small subunit ribosomal RNA", at positions 526 to 776 of the family's 1533-position model. The record is from RNAcentral.